Molecule: unclassified non-coding RNA, 884 nt
Filed under: Hevea brasiliensis (rubber tree)
Lineage: Eukaryota; Viridiplantae; Streptophyta; Magnoliopsida; Malpighiales; Euphorbiaceae
Source: RNAcentral
UAUUGCUCCAUCUCCACGGGACAAAGCACCAUACUUUGCCUGGCUGUCUAUUCGAACUGGGGGGGCUUUUACACCAAGUUUCUUUGCUAUCAAACUAGAUAGGUCAUGCAAAGAAUGUGCUGCUUCAAAAGAUUCAAAAAAAGAUGCCUCUUCAGGGUUGUCUAAAUCAGUUACAUGCACCUUUAUUGGUGUAGAGCCAUCAAGAGACUGCAUAUAAGUUCCAGAACCAACUUGGGCAUAAAAAAGGCAACCAACUUUGUCUUGAUCAUCCUGUAGAUUGUGGGAGGCAAGAGAAGAUAAUGGAAGAUUUGGACAGGCUAAGACGCCCAAAACCACCUUCCCUUCAUCUAGCAAUCCCAAUGCAAUUGCAUAUUGGUCUCCCCUUAGAAACCCUUUAGUACCAUCAAUAGGAUCCAACACCCAGUGCUGACCAGAAGGACCCCCUUCAGAUCUACCACUAUCAAUGGCAGCAAGGACAUCUUCUUCAGAUAAUGGGGCAGUACCAUAUGUUCCAUCACUAGCAAGUGUUUCAUUGACAAGCUUCAUGAUACGCUGUAAUGUUGAUUUUCCCUCUUCAUUACGAAGGUCUCCAGAGUCCUCCUCAGCCACUAAUGAAAAUGAAGCAGAACACAACUCUUUCUGCAAAACAACGCUAACCACGGCCUGUGAGCCAUAAUCAGCCACCGUCACUGGAGAUUUGUCAGACUUUGAUUGAACAUCUGCUUGCAACAGUGCUUUUUGGACUUUUUGACAAAGGCGAGCAGCAAGAGAAGCAGCAUUCUUGGCAGCAUCAAGUUCUUUAUCAUACGACAUUGUAACAGCUCUUAAGGUUGAUUUAGAUGCUCUUAGAGUGAGCAAAAGUGAAAAGGGGAAGUGGGGUUUUG